Molecule: non-coding RNA, 30 nt
Filed under: Homo sapiens (human)
Lineage: Eukaryota; Metazoa; Chordata; Mammalia; Primates; Hominidae
Source: RNAcentral
UCUCUGAGAGAAUUUCUUGUGUCAUGGAGA